RNAcentral lists this ribosomal RNA (451 nucleotides) under uncultured bacterium. Its description in RNAcentral is "bacterial SSU rRNA". It matches the Rfam family "Bacterial small subunit ribosomal RNA", at positions 329 to 797 of the family's 1533-position model. The record is from RNAcentral.
UUCCAGACUCCUACGGGAGGCAGCAGUGGGGAAUAUUGCACAAUGGGGGGAACCCUGAUGCAGCAAUGCCGCGUGAAGGAUGAAGGUUUUCGGAUUGUAAACUUCUUUUCUCGGGGACGAAGAAAGUGACGGUACCUGAGGAAUAAGCCACGGCUAACUACGUGCCAGCAGCCGCGGUAAUACGUAGGUGGCAAGCGUUAUCCGGAUUUAUUGGGUGUAAAGGGCGUGUAGGCGGGAGCGCAAGUCAGAUGUGAAAACUCAGGGCUCAACCCUGAGCCUGCAUUUGAAACUGUGUUUCUUGAGUGCUGGAGAGGCAAUCGGAAUUCCGUGUGUAGCGGUGAAAUGCGUAGAUAUACGGAGGAACACCAGUGGCGAAGGCGGAUUGCUGGACAGUAACUGACGCUGAGGCGCGAAAGCGUGGGGAGCAAACAGGAUUAGAUACCCGAGUACA